GUCACGUUUUGAUGUUUUACUCCGGUCAACCUGUAGAGAAAAGAACGGUGAUCACAGUGGUAUAAAAAUUGCAUCGAACAGAGACCGGAAAGGGCCUCAUCGGAGGUAAAAAUAGAGGAAAGCUGCGGCGGCGCCGUUGGACUUCGGCGGGAUUUUUCAGCCAAUUAGUCGGUGGUUUGGCUCUGGUUUGGCCAUAGGUGGAUUCAGCAUCGAAAAACGAGCCAGGAGGAGAAAAUUUACCUCAAUUGGCGGUCAGAAAAUUCUCCGGUGCGGCGGCGGGUAGCGGCGGCCGGCUCCUCCGACCUCUGGUUCUUCUUCUCCGGCGAGGCACUGGCGGCUAGGGUUUUGUGGUCGGGUGUGGGUGGGGUUAUUUAUACCCUUCCUCUUUUAAUCUCAAUCGUCCAUCAAGUUUUAAUCUGGACCGUCUGAUCGUGAUUUAUUUAGGAUUAAAUCUAGGCCGUCUGUGCCUGAUUGAAUCUGGGUCGUCCGUACGCGUGAAAUCUAGGCCGUCUGUGUGUUCAUUUGAUCUGGGCCAUCCGUUCUUGCGGGAACAAAUCUGGGCCGUCUGAUCGCGCGCACGCGUAUCGCCAAUGUGGCCAGUCCCGUGUCAGCAUUCUUUGCCACGCGGCGUGUCUUGGUUGGUCGGGCCUGCUGACUGGGCUGCUGAUGUGGCUGCUGACAUGG
Molecule: long non-coding RNA, 684 nt
Filed under: Carica papaya (papaya)
Lineage: Eukaryota; Viridiplantae; Streptophyta; Magnoliopsida; Brassicales; Caricaceae
Description: long non-coding RNA (CPAP_LNC006628)
Source: RNAcentral